AACGAACGCUGGCGGCGUGCCUAACACAUGCAAGUCGAACGCGAACGGUGCUUUCGGGUGCCUAGUAGAGUGGCGCACGGGUGAGUAACACGUAGACAACCUGCCUUCGAGCCCGGAAUAACCUUUCGAAAGAAGGGCUAAUACCGGAUAACAUCCUGGGUUGCAUGACUUGGGAUUGAAAGGCUUGCUACUCGAAGAGGGGUCUGCGGGACAUUAGCUAGUUGGUGGGGUAACGGCCACCAAGGCGACGAUGUCUAGCGGGUCUGAGAGGAUGAUCCGCCACACUGGAACUGAGACACGGUCCAGACUCCUACGGGAGGCAGCAGUGGGGAAUUUUGCGCAAUGGGCGAAAGCCUGACGCAGCAACGCCGCGUGAGUGAAGAAGGCCUUUUGGGGUCGUAAAGCUCUUUUCCAGGGGACGAGGCUGACGGUACCUUGGGAAUAAGCACCGGCUAACUCCGUGCCAGCAGCCGCAGUAAG
This 480-nucleotide ribosomal RNA is filed under the name uncultured bacterium. RNAcentral describes it as "bacterial SSU rRNA". It matches the Rfam family "Bacterial small subunit ribosomal RNA", at positions 29 to 524 of the family's 1533-position model. The record is from RNAcentral.